GAUGAAGAACGUAGCGAAAUGCGAUACGUAAUGUGAAUUGCAGAAUUCAGUGAAUCAUCGAAUCUUUGAACGCAUAUUGCGCUCUUUGGUAUUCCGAAGAGCAUGCUUGUUUGAGUAUCAGUAAACACCUCAACCUCUUCUUGAUUUUUCAAAAGGAGGGUGGACUUGAGCUAUCCCUACAACCUUUACCGGUCGGCGGGCGGCUUGAAAUGCAGGUGCAGCUGGACUUUUAUCUGAGCUAAAAGCAUAUCUAUUUAGUCCUCGUCAAACAGGAUUAUUACUUUUGCUGCAGCUAACAUAAAGGAUAAUUGUCCUCUUUGCUGACUGAUGCAGGAUUUUACGACACUUUAUGUGUUGUUCAACUCGAUCUCAAAUCAAGUAAGACUACCCGCUGAACUUAAGCAUAUCAAUAAGCGGAGGA
Molecule: unclassified non-coding RNA, 421 nt
Filed under: soil metagenome
Description: partial contains 5.8S ribosomal RNA, internal transcribed spacer 2, and large subunit ribosomal RNA
Rfam family: 5.8S ribosomal RNA (bases 1-120)
Source: RNAcentral